Molecule: ribosomal RNA, 369 nt
Filed under: uncultured bacterium
Lineage: Bacteria
Description: bacterial SSU rRNA
Rfam family: Bacterial small subunit ribosomal RNA
Source: RNAcentral
GUAGGGUGCGAGCGUUAAUCGGAAUUACUGGGCGUAAAGCGUGCGCAGGCGGUUAUAUAAGACAGAUGUGAAAUCCCCGGGCUCAACCUGGGAACUGCAUUUGUGACUGUAUAGCUAGAGUACGGCAGAGGGGGAUGGAAUUCCGCGUGUAGCAGUGAAAUGCGUAGAUAUGCGGAGGAACACCGAUGGCGAAGGCAAUCCCCUGGGCCUGUACUGACGCUCAUGCACGAAAGCGUGGGGAGCAAACAGGAUUAGAUACCCUGGUAGUCCACGCCCUAAACGAUGUCAACUGGUUGUUGGGUCUUCACUGACUCAGUAACGAAGCUAACGCGUGAAGUUGACCGCCUGGGGAGUACGGCCGCAAGGUUG